CCUACGGGUGGCAGCAGUGGGGAAUAUUGCACAAUGGGCGAAACCCUGAUCCAGCAACGCCGCGUGAGUGAAGAAGUCACUCGUGAUUGAAAGCUCUAUCUGCAGGGAAGAAAAUGACGGUACCUGACUAAGAAGCCCCGGCUAACUACGUGCCAGCAGCCGCGGGAAUACGUAGGGGGCAAGCGUUAUCCGGAUUUACUGGGUGUAAAGGGAGCGUAGACGGGAAAGUAAGUCUGACGUGAAAUGGCAGUGCUCAACACUGGAACUGCUUUGGAAACUGUUUGGCUAGAGUGCAGGAGAGGUAAGUGGAAUGCCUAGUGUAGCGGUGAAAUGCGUAGAUAUUAGGAGGAACACCAGUGGCGAAGGCGGCAUACUGGACUGUAACUGACGUUGAGGCUCGAAGGCGUGGGGAGCGAACAGGAUUAGAUACCCCGGUAGUC
Molecule: ribosomal RNA, 440 nt
Filed under: uncultured bacterium
Lineage: Bacteria
Description: partial 16S ribosomal RNA
Rfam family: Bacterial small subunit ribosomal RNA
Source: RNAcentral